AUUGGCACGUGGCAUUUAAGAGACAAGCACAGUUUCAGAAUGUGAAAUCGCCAUGGUAAUGCUCUUCGUAACAUACUGGCUCAGGCAGAGAAUGGCACAGACUUAACUUUCUGGAAUAUAAGCCGCCUGCUGUUGACAUGGAAAGCCUCUGAACAUCUUUACUAGGGAGGUUGUAAAGAUGAUUAGAAAUGUCUGCUGAUCCUGGAAGUGAAGCAUCACUUGAAACUCUCCAUUUGCCUUUUGGAGGUGACUAGAAAUGGCAAUGAAAAUGAGAGUAGAUGCAUAAAGAGAAAAAGUUCUGGCGAGAGUUCCAGGUACCUUACAUGGAAGCAGCUGGGUAAACAGUGAUUUUGAGGCAUUAACACAUCAUAUUUGUACAGCAAUGAGAGUUUUGAAAAACAUUCAUCCUUCACACUCAAAGUGAAGCCAGACAUAACAUUUACUAAAAAGCAAGAGUCUAGUACAGUGUUGGAGAUGCAUCCUGCCUCGCCCAAAUUUCCAAAUGUUUGCUCCACUAUUCUUUACAAACAUCUCAAGGAAACUUCAACAACUUUUCAGCUUGUUUAAUGUUAAUGAAAGUGAAUAUCCCAAUGUUCUGAAAAAAGCAAAAACUGUCUUUCCAGCUGCUUGGCCUGAUGGAAGUAUAAAGGCGGGCUUUUAGUAUGCAGCAAAGCUGUGCGUGAUGUCUCUGAUUUUAAAUGUUUCACCCAAAAUGUAAUACGACUAUGUUUAUUUUUUUCUCUUUUACAUGAGGGAAGUGUUUCCAUAAGACCUGGAAGACAAGACAUAAUGUGGGGACACAAAGGCAGAUGAAGACUUAUUGCUCAUUCUUCUUUUUUCCACUUCCUGAAAUAGACAGUCCUUCCCUCCUGAUCCAAACCCGAUUCAUUGUGUCAUAUCUAACUAAAAUGGCACCUUUCCUAAGAGUGCUUGUUCUUUGUGACUCCAGGACGUUCUAUCAGCCAUUGUUGUGGAUACCCUUCCCCACACAUUUUAGAGCUCCAAGUACAGCACAGUGAUGGCAUUUCAUGCUCCUUGGAACCUGUGAGGUGGGUGCCACAUCGUCUUCACUUUUUGGAUGUGAAAGCUGAAGCUCAGAGGUCCUGUCACCAGUCUAUGUGUCAAGGUCAUACACAUCAGUUAGUGAACAGCCAGGGUCUGCAGCCUCACUGUCCAGCUUCGGGGGGCUCCACGCGGAAACUCCCUGCAGUUCUCUGUUCUCCGCGGUAACCUCACUCGUGGAUUCCUUUAAGGCCUAUUCUUUUAUCUUCAACUAAACCAUGAAUCCCUUGAUGACAGCUUUUGUCUUGUACUUUUUUUUACAUCUGGAUAGCCACUUCACAAAAGAAUACCUGCAGGAGUCUAUCAUACGUGCACUGAUUGAGAUGGAUCAUGUGAGGAUAUGUAAAACCAGAGACUCAAAAAAUAGCAAACUGAACAUUUAGAUAAGGAAUCAAGGUGAAGAUGGAUAAACAUGCAAGUUUGAAAGAAAGCAGGAACAAGGCAAUCCAACUUGUAUUUUCUGUAAGCUGGCGGCAGAACAUUUAACUGCCAGCUCCUGACAAGGUUUGGAAAACUCAUCAGUGGGAAAGCAGCCAAAACACUGCUCAAGCAUGGGUGGUCACCAGCAGCAAAGGAGGGAAAGCAAGCCAGAAAGAAAGAAGGAAAGAGAGAGUUUUUAUAUAAGUGCUUUCCCAUGAUGUUCUAGCUAUGUGCUUUACUAAAGCAGUGUAACUGUCACCAUCCUGCUGAAAGCUCAAAUUAAGGUGAUGCAAUGAGGAAGCAUUUCAUAUUAAUAACGGCA
RNAcentral lists this long non-coding RNA (1804 nucleotides) under Homo sapiens (human). RNAcentral's name for it is "HSALNT0400006". The record is from RNAcentral. Lineage: Eukaryota; Metazoa; Chordata; Mammalia; Primates; Hominidae.